UGUAAAAAUUUGCUGUAACUCAUGCAGUAAAAUACUGUGAUUUACAACAGUAAUAUGUUGUAAUAACGAUUUUACGAUAAUUAACUGUAUAAGUACGUUGCUGUACAGUAUAUUGCUGUAAACAUCAGUGUCGUAGAGCAUGGGAACAAAUAUCUACAGUAAGCUAGUGUAAAGGAGCGUGCAAAAAGCAUUGUGGGAUACAGCGCACAUGCGCAUUAGGCGGAUCGGCUGCAUAUAUGCGCGUAUGCGUUGCACGUGAUUGGCUCCCGCGCUAGCCCGCCACGCCGCGCCGCCAUUUUUAAUUUUCUGCAAAGAUUUGAGCUGAAAUAUAUAGCUGAGCUGGCCGGCCUGAUCCUGAGCAACGAAUCUGAAUCUGUUCUGUUCCUGGUCCUGAUCCUCGAGCUGGGAUAUUGAUGACCAAUAAGUCAAUUCCAAGGGGAUCCGAGUAUGCCAUGGAUUACUGCUGAAGUCACACAGUGUGCAUGCUGAAACACUAAUCAGACGGAUGCUCUACAUGGACAUCAUAUACCCAUGUACGUUUGUAAGCUAUGUAAUCAUUCUUCUGGAUCAUUGAAGCGGUUUUCUGAACACUUUUCAGUCCAUAGAAAUGUGGUGAAUUUCGAUUUCCCGUGUGGUGUUCCUGGCUGCAAUCGAACAUUCAGAAAUUAUUCAUCCUUCAAAACCCAUGUGCAUAGGGAUCAUCAACCAUUUUCAAGAAAAAAAGAUGCCCAGUUUUUCUGCGUUUCUACCUGGAAUUGUCCACUCUGUGCUGUAAAAUGUGAGGAAAUCCAUGACAUACUUUCUCAUCUUAGAGUUCAUAUCAAACACGGAGUUGAAAUACGCUGUCCUUUUGCCAAUUGCAAAAAACGUUUUUCAGUGAGGUCGUCUUUUGCGUCACAUAUAUCAAGAGUUCACAAUAAGUUAGACCAGAUUCAGUUAGACUCAACUUCAAGUGAAACUGGUACUGUGUUAACUGAAUCCGCCCAAGAAAAUAAUCAGGAGUUUCCUGGAAGACUGCACUCAAGUGACGAGGAAAGUGUGACAGAUGAUGAAGUAGAUGUAUCCGCUGACUCAUUCAAACACAGCUUAUCCUUGUUUUAUCUGAAGUUGGAGGCAAAAUUACUACUGCCCAACUCUACAAUUCAGGAAAUAAUUGACACAGUUCAGGAUAUUCAUGCAUUAAGCCAACAAAAUUUGAUACCAAAAUUAAAAAAGAAACUUUAAGGAAUAGGAAUUACCGAUGAUGAGGUUACCAACGUUUUAACUUUAUUUAAAUCUGAGGAUUUGUUCAGUGCUUCAAAUUGUAAAGAAUUUCGAUCAGAGUCUACAAGAAAAUCACAUUUUAAAGCAGUUUUUGAUUAUGUUUCCCCAACUGAGAUAUAUUUAGGAGAAGAUCAGUUUGGCAAACAGCGAUUUUGCCAAUACAUUAAAAUUCAAGACACACUAAGAGCAUUAUUCAAGCAGAACUCAUUUAUCAAAGAUUACAAAGAGACUCAUAAAGCUCAACCUGCUUUACAAAGGACCAUUCUAUGUGAUGUUUAUGAUGGCAGAGCAUUCCCAAAAGAUGAGCCUUUGCAUAAAAACUCAGCAGUAACACUCAUAUUGUACCAAGAUUCUUUCGAAGUAGUAAAUCCACUAGGCAGUGGGAAAAAAAAACAUAAAAUUCUAGCUGUGUAUGCUACCCUCGCUGAUAUACAGCCCUACAAUAGAUCAAACAUUGAUCAUAUUUUCUAUUUUCUUUGUUCAUUGUGCACAUUGGUAAUUCUAUUUCAUUAAUUUCUGUAUAUCAUGUAUAUUUUCUUAUUGUCAAGUAUGUUUUACGGUUUUUGUUAUUUUGCACAGCCCCUUUGUAAACCAGCCGAGUAGCUGAAUAGGGCUUUUACCGUCAAUAAAUCAAUCAAUCAAUCAAUUGAAUGACAGCUCAUGAAGUUGAAACAAGUUUCUGUGCAGAAUUGGCAUGUAAAUGAGACAAAAAUACAGAAGAAUAUGAAACACGUAUUAAAGAUUACAAGUUUAAUAUAACAGAGCAACUCAAAUUAAAUGGGGUAUUAGUUCAAAAGAUAAAUUAAACAAAAAUAAAGUGAGUAAUGUCUUUUGGAGAGAUUCUACCAGGUAUAGAGAGUUUUCCUUGAUUCUGCCAGGUAUAUGGAGACUUUUCAUUGAUUGUAUUCUGAUAGUAGUUGUCGUUUAAUAGUGGCUUUAAAGGAAGAUAAAAGUGUAUAAAAUAUGUCUUGUUUACAAUUGAAGAUAAUUCUUUACAAUAGUUUUUUACAAUUCAGAAUUUUAAAGUGAACAUAUUGUUGUCUGUUCGACAAAUAAUUUUUGACCCAAGAAAGUGCAGUGCCCCUAAGCCAUACGUUGUGAUUUAGCAUAUCAAUGCCUUAAAGCCGCUAUGUCUGCACAAUUGCAUGUGUUAUUCUGUCGUAUAAUUAAAUUAAUGCUAGGUCGGGUGAAUGAUUUUUUUUAAAGCCAUAUUGGUUGGGAUUAAGCAAGUUAUGUGUAUUUCAGAAUUGGUAUAAUCUAAACAAUUUUUUCAAGAAUUUUUGAGAUACUGGAAGGAUGACUAUGGGUCUGUAGAUUCUUGAGUACUUGAACUUUUGCAGUUUUUAGUGGUUUUACUUGUUUUAAUGUUUUACUUGAUAGUUUCUUUGCAAGCAUUUUCAUAAUGUUACACUAUUUGAGAAACUUGUUUUAUGGAGCGUUGAUUACCCAAUAAAGACUUUAAUAAUGA
RNAcentral lists this long non-coding RNA (2731 nucleotides) under Strongylocentrotus purpuratus (purple sea urchin). RNAcentral describes it as "uncharacterized LOC115927543". Lineage: Eukaryota; Metazoa; Echinodermata; Echinoidea; Camarodonta; Strongylocentrotidae. The record is from RNAcentral.